UACGUAGGGGGCGAGCGUUGUCCGAAGUUACUGGGCGUAAAGCGCGCGUAGGCGGUCAUUUAAGUUCGGGGUGAAAGGUUCAGCGCUCAACGCGAACAGUGCCUUGAAUACUGGGUGACUUGAGUUCGGGAGAGGGCAGUGGAAUUCCUGGUGUAGCGGUGAAAUGCGUAGAUAUCAGGAGGAACACCGAUGGCGAAGGCAGCUGCCUGGCCUAGAACUGACGCUGAGGUGCGAAAGCUAGGGGAGCAAACGGG
Molecule: ribosomal RNA, 254 nt
Filed under: uncultured bacterium
Lineage: Bacteria
Description: partial 16S ribosomal RNA
Rfam family: Bacterial small subunit ribosomal RNA
Source: RNAcentral